AUGCAGGGAACUAUGUAAAUAGCUUGCUAUGAGCGAAGUAUCCUGAUAUCUUAGUGGCGGACGGGUGAGUAACGCGUGGGUAACCUGCCAUAUACAGGGGGAUAACAGCGAGAAAUUGCUGCUAAAACCGCAUAAGCGCACGGAGUCGCAUGACUCAGUGUGAAAAACUCCGGUGGUAUAUGAUGGACCCGCGUCUGAUUAGCCAGUUGGCAGGGUAACGGCCUACCAAAGCGACGAUCAGUAGCCGGCCUGAGAGGGUGGACGGCCACAUUGGGACUGAGACACGGCCCAAACUCCUACGGGAGGCAGCAGUGGGGAAUAUUGCACAAUGGGGGAAACCCUGAUGCAGCGACGCCGCGUGAGUGAAGAAGUAAUUCGUUAUGUAAAGCUCUAUCAGCAGGGAAGAAAAGAGACGGUACCUGACUAAGAAGCCCCGGCUAACUACGUGCCAGCAGCCGCGGUAAUACGUAGGGGGCAAGCGUUAUCCGGAUUUACUGGGUGUAAAGGGAGCGCAGACGGCACAGCAAGUCUGGAGUGAAAGCCCGCGGCUCAACCGCGGGACUGCUCUGGAAACUGUUGAGCUUGAGUGCAGGAGAGGCAGGCGGAAUUCCUAGUGUAGCGGUGAAAUGCGUAGAUAUUAGGAGGAACACCAGUGGCGAAGGCGGCCUGCUGGACUGUAACUGACGUUGAGGCUCGAAAGCGUGGGGAG
RNAcentral lists this ribosomal RNA (709 nucleotides) under uncultured bacterium. Its description in RNAcentral is "bacterial SSU rRNA". It matches the Rfam family "Bacterial small subunit ribosomal RNA", at positions 55 to 768 of the family's 1533-position model. The record is from RNAcentral.